Long non-coding RNA from Thunnus maccoyii (southern bluefin tuna), 945 nucleotides. RefSeq lists it as uncharacterized. NCBI's taxonomy places the organism in Eukaryota, Metazoa, Chordata, Actinopteri, Scombriformes, Scombridae. The transcript has 3 exons. The record is from RefSeq and is a predicted model, not a curated record.
CUCCAUGACAGAGACAUCAGGACUCUGGGUCACAACAAGCGUGCCUGUUGAAGAAACACCUAUGAGGAGACAGAGUGAUACAGCAGCAGGUGAUGUUUACCGUCUCCCCCUCCAUGACAGAGACAUCAGGAGUCUGGGUCACAACAAGUGUUCCUGUUGAAGAAACACCUGUGGGAGACAAAGUGAUACAGGUCUACUGAACCAGCCAUUCUCAACCAGUGGGCUGCGGCCCACAGGUGGGCCUCAGAGCACCAUCUAGUGGUUUUCAAUGAACUGAUGGAACUAUCAGCAGACAGCAGCCUGAAGCUUCAGCUCACACAAGUUGACUCUGCUUCAUUCUGGAUACUGGCUGCCAGUCAAUAUCCCUCUCUGUCAAAACAAGCAAUCAAAUUUCUGUUGCCUUUCACCACCGCCUAUUUGUGUGAGUCAGGGGUUUCCGUUGUGACUGUCACAAACUCAAAGACAAGGAACAAUCUGAAAGCAACUUGGAAUGCUACUCUGCACGUCAGUCUCUCACCCAUCCCACCAUGACUUGAUCUCAUUAUUUCCCAGAAGCAAGUGUCUCACUGAGGGUAAACUGAAUAUUUAUUUUGGUCAUUACAGCUGACAGUGACAUAACACGUAUUUCCAUAUUUAUUUGUUAUGUUUUUUUCAUUUAUUUUGGAAGGUGUUUCUCGGAAAUGUUUUAACAAUCAGAAGUGGGCCUUAAGUUACAAAAGGUUGAGAACCCCUGUACUAAACGGAUGUGGCCUGGUGUUCUGUGCUCUGGACUACCAGUAUGAUGAUGUGUGAAAACAGGAAGACCAUCAACCACAAACUGCAAAAUUUUCAGUCUUCAAAGCCAUAACUGACAAAGCUCUUCAGCAGCACUGAGAUGUUGUUUGUGACAUGCAGCUCAACAAACACAGCUGCUAAUUCAUAGACAAACAUUUCUGAGAAUUGUGU